Long non-coding RNA from Vigna angularis (adzuki bean), 823 nucleotides. RefSeq lists it as uncharacterized. Lineage: Eukaryota; Viridiplantae; Streptophyta; Magnoliopsida; Fabales; Fabaceae. The record is from RefSeq and is a predicted model, not a curated record. The transcript has 3 exons.
CACCUAACACAAUCAAAACACUUAAAAUUUUCAUCCUUAUUCAUAUUUUCUUUUAACAGAUAAACAUUUUCAAUCCCAGAGAGACAUGCUAUUCAGAAAUAAUAUUUCCUAUAAUAAGGUAUGUCGUCUCAAUGCAUCAAAAUCAAGGGAUGACGCUGCUAAUCAAAUCAACUAAUCUUUCACAGUAAAGACAUUACAAUAUGUCAAACAUGAGAGGUGAUGCUCCUCUAACCCUUGUGCAUAAAGACAGAACUCAUGCUUGGCGACGGCAAAACGUUAAUUGGAAUUCUUCAUACAGAACAACAUCUUCAUACGUUAGAAAUUCAUGACUGGAUUCCAUUGCCGAGUGAUUUAUUGGAAAAAAAAAAAACUUAAUGGAAAGUGCCUAAUUUCCUUCCUUCUGAUAGGUGCUUUUUUUGUUAGCUUUUUAUUUUCAGAAAAUUUCUCAGGUUUCUGAAUAAAUUUCAUUGAGCCAGCUAUUCGAAACCUGUAAUAUCACAAUUUACCUAAUUCAGCAUUAUGCACAUUAAUGUGUUCAUGUUAGCCUUUUUAACAUUUUAAACCCCUUGCAUCUUGAAAUGGAACUUUGGUGAGGAAAAUGUUUGAAUACGUUGUUGUAUAGGUAAAUUCAUUGGAUAUCCAUAAGCCACACAGUUCAAUGUAUUCUGAUAAGAGAGAUUAUGGCUCAAUUUUAAAUGCAUUCAACUAAGAUGGUUGAAUCUGACAAUGCAAUUUGUCUUUUAUGCAUAAAACCUUUGAUGGUGAUCUAUUCAACGUUAUACCAAUCAAACUCACAAAACUAAGAAAGUUUUCCUUUUCUUUU